AGUCGAGGGGCAGCAUGAACUUAGCUUGCUAAGUUUGAUGGCGACCGGCGCACGGGUGAGUAACACGUAUCCAACCUGCCGAUGACUCGGGGAUAGCCUUUCGAAAGAAAGAUUAAUACCCGAUGGCAUAGUUCUUCCGCAUGGUAGAACUAUUAAAGAAUUUCGGUCAUCGAUGGGGAUGCGUUCCAUUAGGUUGUUGGCGGGGUAACGGCCCACCAAGCCUUCGAUGGAUAGGGGUUCUGAGAGGAAGGUCCCCCACAUUGGAACUGAGACACGGUCCAAACUCCUACAGGAGGCAGCAGUGAGGAAUAUUGGUCAAUGGACGAGAGUCUGAACCAGCCAAGUAGCGUGAAGGAUGACUGCCCUAUGGGUUGUAAACUUCUUUUAUACGGGAAUAAAGUGAGGCACGUGUGCCUUUUUGUAUGUACCGUAUGAAUAAGGAUCGGCUAACUCCGUGCCAGCAGCCGCGGUAAUACGGAGGAUCCGAGCGUUAUCCGGAUUUAUUGGGUUUAAAGGGAGCGUAGGCGGACGCUUAAGUCAGUUGUGAAAGUUUGCGGCUCAACCGUAAAAUUGCAGUUGAUACUGGGUGUCUUGAGUACAGUAGAGGCAGGCGGAAUUCGUGGUGUAGCGGUGAAAUGCUUAGAUAUCACGAAGAACUCCGAUUGCGAAGGC
This 672-nucleotide ribosomal RNA is filed under the name uncultured bacterium. Its description in RNAcentral is "bacterial SSU rRNA". It matches the Rfam family "Bacterial small subunit ribosomal RNA", at positions 60 to 722 of the family's 1533-position model. The record is from RNAcentral.